Molecule: ribosomal RNA, 2989 nt
Filed under: Salmonella enterica subsp. enterica serovar Derby
Lineage: Bacteria; Pseudomonadati; Pseudomonadota; Gammaproteobacteria; Enterobacterales; Enterobacteriaceae
Description: bacterial LSU rRNA
Rfam family: Bacterial large subunit ribosomal RNA
Source: RNAcentral
UUAAGCGACUAAGCGUACACGGUGGAUGCCCUGGCAGUCAGAGGCGAUGAAGGGCGUGCUAAUCUGCGAUAAGCGCCGGUAAGGUGAUAUGAACCGUUAUAACCGGCGAUACCCGAAUGGGGAAACCCAGUGUGAUUCGUCACACUAUCAUUAACUGAAUCCAUAGGUUAAUGAGGCGAACCGGGGGAACUGAAACAUCUAAGUACCCCGAGGAAAAGAAAUCAACCGAGAUUCCCCCAGUAGCGGCGAGCGAACGGGGAGGAGCCCAGAGCCUGAAUCAGCAUGUGUGUUAGUGGAAGCGUCUGGAAAGGCGCGCGAUACAGGGUGACAGCCCCGUACACAAAAGCGCAUGUGCUGUGAGCUCGAUGAGUAGGGCGGGACACGUGGUAUCCUGUCUGAAUAUGGGGGGACCAUCCUCCAAGGCUAAAUACUCCUGACUGACCGAUAGUGAACCAGUACCGUGAGGGAAAGGCGAAAAGAACCCCGGCGAGGGGAGUGAAAAAGAACCUGAAACCGUGUACGUACAAGCAGUGGGAGCACAGGUUUACCUGUGUGACUGCGUACCUUUUGUAUAAUGGGUCAGCGACUUAUAUUCUGUAGCAAGGUUAACCGUAUAGGGGAGCCGGAGGGAAACCGAGUCUUAACCGGGCGUUAAGUUGCAGGGUAUAGACCCGAAACCCGGUGAUCUAGCCAUGGGCAGGUUGAAGGUUGGGUAACACUAACUGGAGGACCGAACCGACUAAUGUUGAAAAAUUAGCGGAUGACCUGUGGCUGGGGGUGAAAGGCCAAUCAAACCGGGAGAUAGCUGGUUCUCCCCGAAAGCUAUUUAGGUAGCGCCUCGUGAAUUCAUCUCCGGGGGUAGAGCACUGUUUCGGCUAGGGGGCCAUCCCGGCUUACCAACCCGAUGCAAACUGCGAAUACCGGAGAAUGUUAUCACGGGAGACACACGGCGGGUGCUAACGUCCGUCGUGAAGAGGGAAACAACCCAGACCGCCAGCUAAGGUCCCAAAGUCAUGGUUAAGUGGGAAACGAUGUGGGAAGGCCCAGACAGCCAGGAUGUUGGCUUAGAAGCAGCCAUCAUUUAAAGAAAGCGUAAUAGCUCACUGGUCGAGUCGGCCUGCGCGGAAGAUGUAACGGGGCUAAACCAUGCACCGAAGCUGCGGCAGCGAACGUAUCACCCAAGACAACUUUACGGAGUUGACGAUUGACGGAGCGAAGCGACGUCAAAGCGUUCAUUAAAGUCGAGUUGGCUUAGGGAUACGUUCGUUGGGUAGGGGAGCGUUCUGUAAGCCUGUGAAGGUGGCCUGUGAGGGUUGCUGGAGGUAUCAGAAGUGCGAAUGCUGACAUAAGUAACGAUAAAGCGGGUGAAAAGCCCGCUCGCCGGAAGACCAAGGGUUCCUGUCCAACGUUAAUCGGGGCAGGGUGAGUCGACCCCUAAGGCGAGGCCGAAAGGCGUAGUCGAUGGGAAACGGGUUAAUAUUCCCGUACUUGGUGUUACUGCGAAGGGGGGACGGAGAAGGCUAUGUUGGCCGGGCGACGGUUGUCCCGGUUUAAGCGUGUAGGUGUGUGUUCCAGGUAAAUCCGGUUCACUUUAACACUGAGGCGUGACGACGAGGCACUACGGUGCUGAAGCAACAAAUGCCCUGCUUCCAGGAAAAGCCUCUAAGCAUCAGGUAACAUCAAAUCGUACCCCAAACCGACACAGGUGGUCAGGUAGAGAAUACCAAGGCGCUUGAGAGAACUCGGGUGAAGGAACUAGGCAAAAUGGUGCCGUAACUUCGGGAGAAGGCACGCUGACAUGUAGGUGAAGUGAUUUACUCAUGGAGCUGAAGUCAGUCGAAGAUACCAGCUGGCUGCAACUGUUUAUUAAAAACACAGCACUGUGCAAACACGAAAGUGGACGUAUACGGUGUGACGCCUGCCCGGUGCCGGAAGGUUAAUUGAUGGGGUCAGCGCAAGCGAAGCUCCUGAUCGAAGCCCCGGUAAACGGCGGCCGUAACUAUAACGGUCCUAAGGUAGCGAAAUUCCUUGUCGGGUAAGUUCCGACCUGCACGAAUGGCGUAAUGAUGGCCAGGCUGUCUCCACCCGAGACUCAGUGAAAUUGAACUCGCUGUGAAGAUGCAGUGUACCCGCGGCAAGACGGAAAGACCCCGUGAACCUUUACUAUAGCUUGACACUGAACAUUGAGCCUUGAUGUGUAGGAUAGGUGGGAGGCUUUGAAGUGUGGACGCCAGUCUGCAUGGAGCCGACCUUGAAAUACCACCCUUUAAUGUUUGAUGUUCUAACGUGGACCCGUAAUCCGGGUUGCGGACAGUGUCUGGUGGGUAGUUUGACUGGGGCGGUCUCCUCCUAAAGAGUAACGGAGGAGCACGAAGGUUGGCUAAUCCUGGUCGGACAUCAGGAGGUUAGUGCAAUGGCAUAAGCCAGCUUGACUGCGAGCGUGACGGCGCGAGCAGGUGCGAAAGCAGGUCAUAGUGAUCCGGUGGUUCUGAAUGGAAGGGCCAUCGCUCAACGGAUAAAAGGUACUCCGGGGAUAACAGGCUGAUACCGCCCAAGAGUUCAUAUCGACGGCGGUGUUUGGCACCUCGAUGUCGGCUCAUCACAUCCUGGGGCUGAAGUAGGUCCCAAGGGUAUGGCUGUUCGCCAUUUAAAGUGGUACGCGAGCUGGGUUUAGAACGUCGUGAGACAGUUCGGUCCCUAUCUGCCGUGGGCGCUGGAGAACUGAGGGGGCUGCUCCUAGUACGAGAGGACCGGAGUGGACGCAUCACUGGUGUUCGGGUUGUCAUGCCAAUGGCACUGCCCGGUAGCUAAAUGCGGAAGAGAUAAGUGCUGAAAGCAUCUAAGCACGAAACUUGCCCCGAGAUGAGUUCUCCCUGAGACUUAGAGUCUCCUGAAGGAACGUUGAAGACGACGACGUUGAUAGGCCGGGUGUGUAAGCGCAGCGAUGCGUUGAGCUAACCGGUACUAAUGAACCGUGAGGCUUAACCUU